Micropterus dolomieu (smallmouth bass) is the source of this 1945-nucleotide long non-coding RNA. RefSeq lists it as uncharacterized. The record is from RefSeq and is a predicted model, not a curated record. The transcript is spliced from 2 exons. Lineage: Eukaryota; Metazoa; Chordata; Actinopteri; Centrarchiformes; Centrarchidae.
UUUAGCAAACUGGGAGUAAAACAAGUGAUUAUUUGCUCAAAUUAAAGGCAGUUGGACUCAACAGUGAUCCCAACUGCUUACCAAGGAACCAGUGAUCCAGCUCUUUCCCAUUUUAGAUGUGUUGUUUGUGUUUUAGCUGAUUCAAGCUAACACUGCUGCUUGUCUUUCUGCCACUCAGUGAGUGUAACUAUGUUCUGUGACAUCACGCAGAAUUCUCAGAAUUCUGAGAAAAAAGUCAGAAUUCUUUAAAAAAAAGUCAGAAUUCUGAGUUUAAAGUCAGAACUCAAAAAAAAUUUCACGAGGUCCUAAUCCUCUUCCGCACGUUAGUAACAUGGACUGGAGCAAGAGUUUCAGAGUGAGCCAUAACUGUGCCAGCUCAGCUGCUCCUAGUGCAACACCCCAGUAUGGAUCAGCUUAUGGAAUUUUACUUUGAACCCGGGCAAUUCCUUUGCUUACUACUGCUCAAUAGGCAUGUUUAUGUAAUUGAUUAUGUAAUUAAUCAAAGCACCAUGGCAGGUGCUUUGAUCGACCCAAGGUGAGGAAAGAGACCCGGGACGGGAGCCAUGCGGGCCCAGCUUGGACUUACGGCUGCUCCUGGUAAAUGUCCAAAAUGGGACAUGGUGCCAAGCAACUGGAAAUCAGAGACUGUUAUGUCCACAUCUUUACAGAGACCUGUCACACUGUGUGCCUGUCUGCUCUGUUUAGUUAGUUCUCAAGUCAGUUUUGUUAUUUUAGUCAGUUCUGUAUCUGUUAUUUAGUUGUGUUUUGGUUUUCAGCUCUGUCUGUCAUCUUGUGUUCAGUAAUCCCGGUGUUAGUUAGUUAGUUAGUUAGUUGUGUUCCACUGCCUGUUUGAUGCCAGUCUGUUCUGUGUUUCUUGUUUCAGUCUGUUUCCUGUUUAGUUUGGUUUUGAUCUGUGCCUGCCUUAGUUCCUGUCUCAUUCUGUUAUUAUCUGGUAUUUGUUUCAUGCUUGGUUUCUGUCUGCCUGUCUGCUAAGUGUUAAUUGUAUUCUCUGCCUGAUUUGUAGUUCAUGAUCAUCCUGUGUUAGCCUGUUCUGUUCAGUUAUCUUAGUCUGUUCUGUCUCGUGGAGUUGCCUGUGUUUCUCAGUUACUUGGUCUGUCUUAUCUGUUCUGUGUUUUGAGUUCCAGUUAGAUUCUUGUCUUGUGUUUUGCAACCUGUUAGUGUCUUUCUGUUUUCCCCUGCUGUCUCUCUGCCUGCCUGUCUCGUUAGUCUCAUCUCUGUCAGAUGUGUUGCUCCCACCCUGCUUGUUAGUUUCUGUGUAUAUAUGCUUGCUUGUGUCUUUAGUAUUUGUCCGGUCAUUGUAGCUUGCUGCUGCUCUGUCUAUGGAACUUGUCGUGUGAUAUAUUCUGCCCAUUUGUCCACCCUGCUUAUUUCCUAUGGAUCUGGAUUUCUGUUGGAUCUCUUUGUUCGUUUGGAUUGUUUGAGUUUUGGAUAAUCUGGAUUCAGCCACACUUCUUGUUAUUGUGCUCGCGUUUGUUUAAUUAAGUCUUUGAACUUUACCUGCCAGUAUCCGUGUCUUGCAUUUGGGUCCUCAACCACACACGCAUUCAGCCGCUUUGUGACAAGACCUGCCCCAUUAAUAUCCUGGAUAAAUGUCUCAGCAGGAUCACCGUGUUCGAAGUUGUCAGAAAGAGGAGGUGUUUACUUCGGUCAUGCUUGGUGCUCAUUCACAGUCAAAAUGGAUGAACACUGUUUCUUAAAUGUUACUCGCUCAAAAAGGAUAAAGAAACCUAACACACAAACUGUCACUCACGGAACUGGGGAGUCUUAACAGUCUUGUCUUGUAAGUAAAAUUAUUGUGACUUGAAAACUAGAACUUAUAUUUGGCAUUAAGGACGGGCCUUAGGGGGCCAGGCCCACCUACAGAGGUUCUGUGCCCCACCCCACCCCUCCAAAAGUUGGCAUAAAAAAUUAUUUUAAAAGAAAA